Molecule: non-coding RNA, 41 nt
Filed under: Geobacter metallireducens GS-15
Lineage: Bacteria; Pseudomonadati; Thermodesulfobacteriota; Desulfuromonadia; Geobacterales; Geobacteraceae
Source: RNAcentral
UUGGUGCCCCAGGAAGAGUGGAAACCGCUGAUCAGCGUCCG